UACGGAAGGCAGCAGUGGGGGAAUAUUGCACAAUGGGCGCAAGCCUGAUGCAGCCAUGCCGCGUGUAUGAAGAAGGCCUUCGGGUUGUAAAGUACUUUCAGUCGUAGAGGAAGGUGUUAAGGUUAAUAACCUUAGCAAUUGACGUUAGCGACAGAAGAAGCACCGGCUAACUCCGUGCCAGCAGCCGCGGUAAUACGGGGGGUGCGAGCGUUAAUCAGAAUUACUGGGCGUAAAGAGCACGUAGGUGGUUUUUUUAAGUCAGAUGUGAAAUCCCUGGGCUUAACCUAGGAACUGCAUUUUGAAACUGAAAUACUAGAGUAUCGUAGAGGGAGGUAGAAUUCUAGGUGUAGCGGUGAAAUGCGUAGAUAUCUGGAGGAAUACCUGUGGCGAAAGCGGCCUCCUAAACGAAUACUGACACUGAGGUGCGAAAGCGUGGGGAGCGAAACAGGGAUUAGAUACC
Molecule: ribosomal RNA, 460 nt
Filed under: uncultured bacterium
Lineage: Bacteria
Description: bacterial SSU rRNA
Rfam family: Bacterial small subunit ribosomal RNA
Source: RNAcentral